This 521-nucleotide ribosomal RNA is filed under the name uncultured bacterium. RNAcentral describes it as "bacterial SSU rRNA". It matches the Rfam family "Archaeal small subunit ribosomal RNA", at positions 345 to 866 of the family's 1478-position model. The record is from RNAcentral.
AACCUCCGCAAUGUGAGAAAUCGCGACGGGGGGAUCCCAAGUGCCAUUCUUAACGGGAUGGCUUUUCAUUAGUGUAAAGAGCUUUUGGAAUAAGGGCUGGGCAAGACCGGUGCCAGCCGCCGCGGUAACACCGGCAGCUCUAGUGGUAACAAUUUUUAUUGGGCCUAAAGCGUCCGUAGCCGGUUUAAUAAGUCUCUGGUGAAAUCCUGUAGCUUAACUGUGGGAAUUGCUGGAGAUACUAUUAGACUUGAGACCGGGAGAGGUUAGAGGUACUCCCAGGGUAGAGGUGAAAUUCUGUAAUCCUGGGAGGACCGCCUGUUGCGAAGGCGUCUAACUGGAACGGUUCUGACGGUGAGGGACGAAAGUUAGGGGUGCGAACCGGAUUAGAUACCCGGGUAGUCCUAACUGUAAACGAUGCGGACUUGGUGUUGGGGUGGCUUUGAGCUGCUCCAGUGCUGAAGGGAAGCUGUUAAGUCCGCCGCCUGGGAAGUACGGUCGCAAGACUGAAACUUAAAGGAAUU